CAGCAGCCACGGUAAUACGAAGGGUGCAAGCGUUAAUCGGAAUUACUGGGCGUAAAGCGCACGUAGGCGGCUUGGUAAGUUAGAGGUGAAAGCCUGGAGCUCAACUCCAGAAUUGCCUUUAAGACUGCCGAGCUAGCAGGUGAGAGAGGUAAGUGGAAUUCCGAGUGUAGAGGUGAAAUUCGUAGAUAUUCGGAAGAACACCAGUGGCGAAGGCGGCUUACUGGCUCAUACUGGACGCUGAGAUGCGAAAGCGUGGGGAGCAAACAGGAUUAGAUACCCGUGUAGUCCCUGUCUCUUAUAC
RNAcentral lists this ribosomal RNA (301 nucleotides) under uncultured bacterium. RNAcentral describes it as "partial 16S ribosomal RNA". It matches the Rfam family "Bacterial small subunit ribosomal RNA", at positions 509 to 807 of the family's 1533-position model. The record is from RNAcentral.